UACGUAGGGUGCAGGCGUUAAUCGGAAUUACUGGGCGUAAAGCGUGCGCAGGCGGUUUCUUAAGUCAGAGGUGAAAUCCCCGGGCUUAACCUGGGAAUGGCCUUUGUGACUGCACGGCUAGAGUGUGUCAGAGGGGGGUAGAAUUCCACGUGUAGCAGUGAAAUGCGUAGAGAUGUGGAGGAAUACCGAUGGCGAAGGCAGCCCCCUGGGAUAACACUGACGCUCAUGCACGAAAGCGUGGGGAGCAAACAGG
RNAcentral lists this ribosomal RNA (253 nucleotides) under uncultured bacterium. RNAcentral's name for it is "partial 16S ribosomal RNA". It matches the Rfam family "Bacterial small subunit ribosomal RNA", at positions 524 to 776 of the family's 1533-position model. The record is from RNAcentral.